AUUUUUUUUAGAUAAUUUAUACCAUUUUUAUUAGUGGAUGAAAACAAAAAGAGAACGAUGGAGAGUAGGGUUUGAAUGUAAAAGAAAAGAAAAUUAGAGAGAAAUAAAUAAAUGAGGAUAAAAGAGAAAAAAAUGGAGAGAUGAAUAAUGUAAUUUUGAUAUAAAAAAUAAUUAUUUGACUAAAUAGUUAAUAGAAUCAAAUUAUAAGGACUAAUUAAAAUAUUUUUCUAAAACAUAUAGAUCAACAAAUUAUUUUUAUUAAAAUAAAGGAACGAAAUAAUAACCUGACUAGUAUUAUUAAUAAAAAAAAUUAAUAAAG
Molecule: unclassified non-coding RNA, 319 nt
Filed under: Hevea brasiliensis (rubber tree)
Lineage: Eukaryota; Viridiplantae; Streptophyta; Magnoliopsida; Malpighiales; Euphorbiaceae
Source: RNAcentral